Long non-coding RNA from Etheostoma cragini (Arkansas darter), 458 nucleotides. RefSeq lists it as uncharacterized. The transcript has 3 exons. Lineage: Eukaryota; Metazoa; Chordata; Actinopteri; Perciformes; Percidae. The record is from RefSeq and is a predicted model, not a curated record.
GUGUUAGCAAAGCUUGUCCAUGGCACGUAAACUUCAUUUUGGGGGUUUCAUCGCUGUGGCUGUGAUACUUUGGUCGGAUAAUAAUGUCUUGUUCAGCGUUCGGUUGCACGGCAAGACACUCAAAGGAAUUGGCAGUUCAGUUUUUCCGACUUCCUUUUGAUGAUGCCAGGCUGAAGCAAUGGUUGGUGAACAUGAGGAGAGAGACCAGCAGAUGGAACCACGAAAAGUCCCGUCUGCAGUUCACACUUUGAGGAAGAUCAGUUUUUUAGAGACGAGCAGGUAUCCACACUGAAAACUGAAUGAGCAGAGCCUACAGAAGGAAGACCUGGUGUAUAGAGCGGUGUAUUUGGUGCCAUUUCAUCUGGAUGUGGAAACCAGACUGCGUUGACCACAUCCAAAGUUCUCAAAUAUGUUCUGAUUAUAAUAAUGCCUGAAAAUCAUUUUUGGUUCAGCUUGUU